This 1110-nucleotide ribosomal RNA is filed under the name Triticum aestivum (bread wheat). Its description in RNAcentral is "partial small subunit ribosomal RNA". The record is from RNAcentral. Lineage: Eukaryota; Viridiplantae; Streptophyta; Magnoliopsida; Poales; Poaceae.
AUGCAUUGGUUCUCGUGGUGGAAGCUUUGUAUACCAAAGUGUGAUGGGGGUUUAGGUUUUCGUGACCUACACUCUUUCAACUUGGCGCUGCUUGCAAAACAGUGUUGGAGAUUGAUUAUAAAUCUGGAGUCCCUUUGUGCUCGAAUUUUGAAGGCGGAAUAUUACCCCAAUACAGAUUUGCUGCAUGCUGGGCAAAAAACUGGGUCUUCAUUUACAUGGCAGAGCCUGGUAGCAGGUUUGACUACAUUUAAAAGAGGGUAUAUUUGGCGAAUCGGAUCGGGUGAGAAUGUAAGCAUAUGGAAUCCAUGGAUUCCCUCCAGCCCGGACAGGAGAGUUAUAACUCCUCGGGGACAUAUCUUAAUCUCUCGAGUGGUAGAGCUAAUUGAUCUAGUUACCUCGCAGUGGGAUGAACAAUUGAUACGGGAUAUUUUUUAUCCCGUGGACGCUACUAGAAUUCUGCAGAUACCACUCAAUUUCCAAGCAUUUGAUGAUUUUAUUGCAUGGCAUCUAACAAAGCACGGGAGAUUCACGGUUAAGAGUGCAUACCAUGAACAAUGGUCGCAUAAGUAUAGAGGUCAAUAUCUUCCAAACUCAUCGUCAACUAGUACCAUGCAAGCAGCGAUCUGGAAGAGGCUAUGGGAGCUUCAAGUGCCACGGGAAAUUCAAAUCUUCUGUUGGCGGGCAUUGAGAGGAAUCAUUCCAGUUAAAUCCAUUCUCGCUAAUAGACAUAUACAUGUCGAUGGUGCAUGCCCAGUGUGUCAUCAGGGGGCGGAAGACCUGCGUCAUAUGCUGUUCAAAUGCAAUUUAGCAAAUAGCCUAUGGGCCGGGCUGGGCCUAUCAGAGCAUAUUGACUUCGUUGUACAAGUAGACAGAUCGGGGUCGGCGAUCCUGGAAUUUCUGCUGCUGGAGUCAGACCAACCUCUACUAAUGAUGCCAAGCUUGAAGAAAAUGGAGGUGAUCGCGACCGGAUGCUGGUACCUCUGGUGGCUGCGUCGCGACACACUCACCAUGACUUGUUCCUCCUAUCUUCAGGUGGCACAUGUCUCUUCUCGCAAUAGUGAAAAAUUAUACAAACUCUGUGAUGCAGAAAGGGACUUUGAUGGAGCAUAG